This 254-nucleotide ribosomal RNA is filed under the name uncultured bacterium. RNAcentral's name for it is "partial 16S ribosomal RNA". It matches the Rfam family "Bacterial small subunit ribosomal RNA", at positions 524 to 776 of the family's 1533-position model. The record is from RNAcentral.
UACGAAGGGGGCUAGCGUUGUUCGGAAUCACUGGGCGUAAAGCGCACGUAGGCGGAUCGUUAAGUCGGGGGUGAAAUCCCAGGGCUCAACCCUGGAACUGCCUUCGAUACUGGCGAUCUUCGAGUCCGGGAGAGGUGAGUGGAACUCCGAGUGUAGAGGUGAAAUUCGUAGAUAUUCGGAAGAACACCAGUGGCGAAGGCGGCUCACUGGCCCGGUACUGACGCUGAGGUGCGAAAGCGUGGGGAGCAAACGGG